RNAcentral lists this long non-coding RNA (1482 nucleotides) under Salmo salar (Atlantic salmon). RNAcentral describes it as "lncRNA (ENSSSAG00000084305.1, ENSSSAG00000096360.1)". Lineage: Eukaryota; Metazoa; Chordata; Actinopteri; Salmoniformes; Salmonidae. The record is from RNAcentral.
CUCAUGUAGUAGGGUCAUGUACCAUGGUACCUUCCACCCUGUGUUCUCAGCCAUGGUGGUACUGGUGAAGUUAGACUUGUUCUGAUGUCCCUCUCUAGCUGCUCCGGGGUCAUCGCCAUGUAAAGUCCAAAGACGAAAAAUAACCCUGAAGGAAGGAGAGAUGACUAGAAAGAAUCCGGUUGACCGCUUUAUGUGUGGAUUAAUUGUUGGAGUAGAGGACCUUGUGCAUUUCAGGUAAAAUAACAACUCAAUGUUUAUAUCCCAGGACAAAUAAGCUAGCUAAAUUGCCAUAAAUGUUUAAUGCUUUUCGACCUGUCCCCAAAUUAAUAUAAUUGGUUGAGAGUUUGUUUUGAUAUUUCGUGUCAUGAUCGCGUUUGGAGUGAGGGGACAAAAUCAAUUUGCGCACGAUGGCGGAUGCACUCGCGCGUCUGGUUUGGGCAUGGUGUAAUGGUUGUUUAAAUCUAAAAUUAGCUUGACGCGUUUUCGGUUAUCCUACAGACUCAGCGCAUUGCUACAUGGUACUUGAAGGAGAAUUGGAGGUUAAUAAUUUAUUACACUGUUUAGAUUGAGCACAUUUAAACGAAAGCUAAACUUCGUCAUGACGAUAUAAACGGAUGGAUGUGUUCCAGAUGAGGAAGGCCAUCUAUUGGCUGAUUUGGCGGCCUGGAGUGUAGGUCAUUGUUUUAUGAAAUGUGAUCCCAUAUCUCCAGUGACAAUAAUUAUGUAGCUAUGAAGUGUUCUCACACGAUUUCCUGAUUUUCACAACUUGGAAGUUACAUCAUGGGGAAAUGUUGUAUUUUACCCACUGAUAGAACAUAAACAUUCACCAAAUAAACAGGAGUUAUGUUUUUUAUUUCUGGGGGUGGAUUAUCCCUUUAAACUGUAUAGUGGUUAAUCAGUAGCCUUGCCUCAACCUAGUCAAAAUGCGAACCAAGGCAGGGUAAAAGAUGCAUUAUUUGUGUAUGUAGAAAUAAGUAACAAACAAGGACAUAUUUUAAUCUUGAUGAAUGACUAUUUGUAAUUUUACGACAAGCUAAGAUGUUCUUUCCCUUUAGUUUACAAUGUCUGUUCUGCCUCUAGUGACUCAGCUGCCUUCUGAUGUUUAUUAAGUCUGCUAAACUCACUCCAAUUUUCACUGUUAUUGAAAUAUGAAAAACUAUGGCCUUGUCAUUAUUAAUUCAUGUUUGCUUGUUGGUAACUUAGACAGGCAAGGGCCUCCAAGUGGCGCAGCGUCUAAAAAUGCUGACCAGACCGCACGCGCGCAUCUGAGUGCACCAUCGCCCGCAUGUUGAUUUUGUCCCCCCACACCAGAGAUCAGGACAGCAGGUUGAUUUUGUCCCCCCACACCAGAGAUCAAAACACGCAGGUUGAUUUUGUCCCCCCACACCAGAGAUCAGGACAGCAGGUUGAUUUUGUCCCCCCACACCAGAGAUCAGAACACGCAGGUUGAUUUUGUCCCCCCACACCAGAGAUCAGAACACG